RNAcentral lists this ribosomal RNA (408 nucleotides) under uncultured cyanobacterium. Its description in RNAcentral is "bacterial SSU rRNA". It matches the Rfam family "Bacterial small subunit ribosomal RNA", at positions 365 to 788 of the family's 1533-position model. Lineage: Bacteria; Bacillati; Cyanobacteriota. The record is from RNAcentral.
UCCGCAAUGGGCGCAAGCCUGACGGAGCAAGACCGCGUGAGGGAGGACGGUCUGUGGAUUGUAAACCUCUUUUCUCAGGGAAGAAGAACUGACGGUACCUGAGGAAUCAGCAUCGGCUAACUCCGUGCCAGCAGCCGCGGUAAUACGGAGGAUGCAAGCGUUAUCCGGAAUUAUUGGGCGUAAAGCGUCCGUAGGUGGUUGAGCAAGUCUGCUGUCAAAGAGUGGAGCUUAACUUCAUAGAGGCGGUGGAAACUGCUGAGCUAGAGUGCGGCAGGGGUAGAGGGAAUUCCCAGUGUAGCGGUGAAAUGCGUAGAUAUCGGGAAGAACACCAGUGGCGAAAGCGCUCUACUGGGCCGCAACUGACACUGAUGGACGAAAGCUAGGGGAGCGAAAGGGAUUAGAUACCCC